ACGCACGCUGGCGGCGUGCUUAACACAUGCAAGUCGAACGGAAAGGCCCUGCUUUUGUGGGGUGCUCGAGUGGCGAACGGGUGAGUAACACGUGAGUAACCUGCCCUUGACUUUGGGAUAACUUCAGGAAACUGGGGCUAAUACCGGCUAGGAGCUCCUGCUGCAUGGUGGGGGUUGGAAAGUUUCGGCGGUUGGGGAUGGACUCGCGGCUUAUCAGCUUGUUGGUGGGGUAGUGGCUUACCAAGGCUUUGACGGGUAGCCGGCCUGAGAGGGUGACCGGCCACAUUGGGACUGAGAUACGGCCCAGACUCCUACGGGAGGCAGCAGUGGGGAAUAUUGCACAAUGGGCGGAAGCCUGAUGCAGCAACGCCGCGUGCGGGAUGACGGCCUUCGGGUUGUAAACCGCUUUCGCCUGUGACGAAGCGUGAGUGACGGUAAUGGGUAAAGAAGCACCGGCUAACUACGUG
This 467-nucleotide ribosomal RNA is filed under the name uncultured bacterium. RNAcentral's name for it is "partial 16S ribosomal RNA". It matches the Rfam family "Bacterial small subunit ribosomal RNA", at positions 29 to 507 of the family's 1533-position model. The record is from RNAcentral.